GCUUAACACAUGCAAGUCGAGGGGCAGCACAGGUAGCAAUACCGGGUGGCGACCGGCGCACGGGUGAGUAACGCGUAUGCAACUUACCUAUCAGAGGGGGAUAACCCGGCGAAAGUCGGACUAAUACCGCAUGAAGCAGGGGCCCCGCAUGGGGAUAUUUGCUAAAGAUUCAUCGCUGAUAGAUAGGCAUGCGUUCCAUUAGGCAGUUGGUGGGGUAACGGCCCACCAAACCGACGAUGGAUAGGGGUUCUGAGAGGAAGGUCCCCCACAUUGGUACUGAGACACGGACCAAACUCCUACGGGAGGCAGCAGUGAGGAAUAUUGGUCAAUGGCCGAGAGGCUGAACCAGCCAAGUCGCGUGAGGGAUGAAGGUUCUAUGGAUCGUAAACCUCUUUUAUAAGGGAAUAAAGUGCGGGACGUGUCCCGUUUUGUAUGUACCUUAUGAAUAAGGAUCGGCUAACUCCGUGCCAGCAGCCGCGGUAAUACGGAGGAUCCGAGCGUUAUCCGGAUUUAUUGGGUUUAAAGGGUGCGUAGGCGGCCUUUUAAGUCAGCGGUGAAAGUCUGUGGCUCAACCAUAGAAUUGCCGUUGAAACUGGGGGGCUUGAGUAUGUUUGAGGCAGGCGGAAUGCGUGGUGUAGCGGUGAAAUGCAUAGAUAUCACGCAGAACCCCGAUUGCGAAGGCAGCCUGCCAAGCCAUGACUGACGCUGAUGCACGAAAGCGUGGGGAUCAAACAGGAUUAGAUACCCUGGUAGUCCACGCAGUAAACGAUGAUCACUAGCUGUUUGCGAUACACUGUAAGCGGCACAGCGAAAGCGUUAAGUGAUCCACCUGGGGAGUACGCCGGCAACGGUGAAACUCAAAGGAAUUGACGGGGGCCCGCACAAGCGGAGGAACAUGUGGUUUAAUUCGAUGAUACGCGAGGAACCUUACCCGGGUUUGAACGCAUUCGGACCGAGGUGGAAACACCUUUUCUAGCAAUAGCCGUUUGCGAGGUGCUGCAUGGUUGUCGUCAGCUCGUGCCGUGAGGUGUCGGCUUAAGUGCCAUAACGAGCGCAACCCUUGCCACUAGUUACUAACAGGUAAAGCUGAGGACUCUGGUGGGACUGCCAGCGUAAGCUGCGAGGAAGGCGGGGAUGACGUCAAAUCAGCACGGCCCUUACAUCCGGGGCGACACACGUGUUACAAUGGCGUGGACAAAGGGAGGCCACCUGGUGACAGGGAGCGAAUCCCCAAACCACGUCUCAGUUCGGAUCGGAGUCUGCAACCCGACUCCGUGAAGCUGGAUUCGCUAGUAAUCGCGCAUCAGCCAUGGCGCGGUGAAUACGUUCCCGGGCCUUGUACACACCGCCCGUCAAGCCAUGGGAGCCGGGGGUACCUGAAGUCCGUAACCGGGAGGAUCGGCCUAGGGUAAAACUGGUGACUGGGGCU
RNAcentral lists this ribosomal RNA (1429 nucleotides) under uncultured organism. RNAcentral's name for it is "SSU rRNA". It matches the Rfam family "Bacterial small subunit ribosomal RNA". The record is from RNAcentral.